This is a long non-coding RNA of Gossypium raimondii (Peruvian cotton), 1658 nucleotides long. RefSeq lists it as uncharacterized. Lineage: Eukaryota; Viridiplantae; Streptophyta; Magnoliopsida; Malvales; Malvaceae. The transcript is spliced from 2 exons. The record is from RefSeq and is a predicted model, not a curated record.
AAUUUUAUCACAACCCAAAACGAAAUUCAAGAAUGGUGACAAAUUUUUUUUUUGAAGUUAUACGUUUGAUUACAAAAUCAAUUAAUAUUUACUUUUUGUAGAGAUGAUUCAUCGCAUUAUUUAAAUAAUCUCUUGUACUUUUAUCAUACCCCAAAUAAGCCUUUAAAGUCUAAAUAACCCUCAAGUUUUUUACCUGUAUCUAGAUAAGUUUUAGCAUUCAAUUUAUAGGAAAAUAUUUAGUAUAUUGAUAAUAGAGGUUUUAGACUUCACAACUUGACAAAUUUUUAUCAGUAAAAACUCAUCGGCUAUGCUUCACCCUUUCAAUCUCAUUCCCAUUUAACUGACUCACUUUUUCUUCUUACCAUUACAAAAAUAGAAGCAAAAGCAAAGCUCCCUCAGUUUAUUUUGUUCUCUUUUCCUCAAUCUCACAAUCCACUAUCUGUUUUGCCCUUUGCUCGAUUUCGUAAUCUUCUUCGGGUUUUGCCUAUCGAGAAGAUGAGUGAAUGUUAGAGUAUAGAUAAAGACUCUAUUAGUUUAUUAGUUGUUAGUCUGUUAUACAAGCAGUUAUGCUGUUAACUGAAAUUGUUAGUAGCAAUUACUCAUACACAUAUUAUCAAUACUAUUGUUAUACUGGUUAAAUUCAAGAUAAUAAUACAAAAAUCAUUCUCUGCAUAUUCUAUUUUUCUUUCAACUUAAUGUAGAUAUUAACAUAAAGCAGGGUUGUGCCGUAUGCCUACUUUUUUAUUGUCUUACAUUAUAGAUGUGCUUUUUACUUGCAGAGUUUAAAGCAAGGUAGUAUAAGUCAGCCAAAACCUGGGGAUUAAGCUUUGACUUUUUAAAUAUGCUACUAUGAAGGGAAUGAAGAUGGCAGUGAUCGGUGUAAGAAAAACAGAUGAGGAAACAGAGAGUCAAGAGGGAAUUAAUGGCAGAUCUUUGGAAAGGCCAUUAUGCUUGGAAUUUUAGCUAUUCAAAAAAGAGAGGGAAUGAAGAUGGCAGUGAUCGGCGUAAGAAAAACAGAUGAGGAAAUAGAAAGUCAAGAGGGAAUUAAUGGCAGAUCUUUGGAAAGGCCAUUAUGCUUGGAAUUUUAGCUAUACAAAAAAGAGAGGAAUAAAAAUCUGUAGGUGUUUAGCUUAGCUGAACAUGUUAUGCGGCUGCAAUGUGGUGUUUGUGUCUUGAAACAAGCGAUGCGAUUUUCUAUAGCCAUUUGCUGCGUACAGUAAGUCUUCGUUGUGAAUUUACAGUCACUGUUUUGGGAGAAUGAUGUUAAGGGGGUGCUGGAACUCCAGCAAUCGUAAAACGUGGCUGUGAUUCGAGCUAUUAUACUGUGCUUGAAGCUUCGAACUAGAGCAUGACAGUUUCAUUGCGUAUCAAUUCAACCUCAGAUUCUUUGGGGGACGUAUCCGAGCUAAUUAAUUGGUCCAUCAAGUGAAAGAUAUCGAUUUUUGAAAAUGUCUUGCUAAGGCAGCGGCCAAGGAUGGGGUGGAUUGGAUUUUAAUGUUUAUGGAAUGGUAUUUAUUGGCAUUAUACAUUAUGUUGUACUGUUGUUUUUUGUUUACUGUGUUGCUUGUAAGCUGUAACUUUUACACUUGGUUUCCUUUAUUUUAUAUGAUCUUCAAACGAUGUUUAAUCAAAAAUUUUCCACUUGAUUGUAGACUUCA